GAAUAGUUGUCCCCUUAGAACAAAGAGCAUUGUUCUGUGGCAUAAAAAGAGAAUGGAUGUAAAGAGAUGCACAUCCCAGACCGCCGUCCCACACAGCUCCCCUGCCACAGCACUGGUGCCAAGGAGCAGGACCAGGCACAGUGCUGGUUUCAGGGAGAAAAAAGAUAUUUUGAAGAUCUCUGCGCCUGGCAUAAGGAAAGUGCACUCUCUGUGUUCCUGCUUGAAAUCCUUGUCCUUGCAGUUCCCCCAGCAGAGCUACAGGUUCUCAGGAGACCAUGGAAGAGACCCAGACUGCUGCAUGCUAUUGAUCACAGCACUGCCAAUUCGGGGAAACACAUUGCUGCUAUGAAGAUGGAGGCUGUUCACAUGUUCCUUUCUGGGAGUGGUGUAACGGGUUUCUG
Molecule: long non-coding RNA, 401 nt
Filed under: Anser brachyrhynchus (Pink-footed goose)
Lineage: Eukaryota; Metazoa; Chordata; Aves; Anseriformes; Anatidae
Description: lncRNA (ENSABRG00000021737.1)
Source: RNAcentral